GAAAAACAAUAAUCAAAGCAAUCUUUUAUUCAAAACCAAAUAUCCCACAAUUGUCGACCCUAUACUUUUAGGGUGAGUAUCGUAGCUCAAUUCUUACAUCCCAACUAAAAACUCUAAAGAUUUAGCUACUCAUGUUUCUAGGAGAAGAGAAGACUCAAAAAGACCUAACCACCAUCUUGUUGAAGAGAUAACGAAUCAGACUCGCUCCAGUCUUUGCUUUUGGCCUUCUAACUUCAAUCCUAACUUCGAUCUUCAAUGGCAACUCCUUCGGAUCUUCAAUCGGACUUCUAUGGAUGGAAAUAUGA
This 305-nucleotide long non-coding RNA is filed under the name Linum usitatissimum (flax). RNAcentral describes it as "long non-coding RNA (LUSI_LNC005255)". The record is from RNAcentral. Lineage: Eukaryota; Viridiplantae; Streptophyta; Magnoliopsida; Malpighiales; Linaceae.